AUGGCUGCUUUGGCAACUGUUCUCUUCACAGGUGUCUGGAGGCUGCACUGUGGUGCAGCCGCUUGGGCGGGCGGCCAGCCAGUGGCGACUACAGCAGGGACUGGCGGCCAACCCCUCCGGCUACGGGCCCCUUACAGAGCUCCCAGACUGGUCAUAUUGCAAGACGAGUUGUACUGCUGUCACAGGAAAUGGACGCUGGAUUACAAGCAUGGCAGCUCAGGCAGCAGAAGUUGCAGGAAGAACAAGGAAGCAGGAAAAUGCUCUUAAACCCAAAGGGGCUUCACUGAAGAGCCCACUUCCAAGUCAAUAAAAAGCAACUCUUCCCUCCCUUCCUCA
Molecule: RNA transcript, 336 nt
Organism: Mandrillus leucophaeus (drill)
Lineage: Eukaryota; Metazoa; Chordata; Mammalia; Primates; Cercopithecidae
Gene name: 39S ribosomal protein L52, mitochondrial-like
Exons: 2
Source: RefSeq, a predicted model, not a curated record